AUACGGAGGAUCCGAGCGUUAUCCGGAUUUAUUGGGUUUAAAGGGUGCGUAGGUGGUUUGAUAAGUCAGCGGUGAAAGUUUGCGGCUCAACCGUAAAAUUGCCGUUGAAACUGUCGGACUUGAGUGUAAAUGAGGUAGGCGGAAUGCGUGGUGUAGCGGUGAAAUGCAUAGAUAUCACGCAGAACUCCGAUUGCGAAGGCAGCUUACUAAGCUACAACUGACACUGAAGCACGAAAGCGUGGGGAUC
Molecule: ribosomal RNA, 247 nt
Filed under: uncultured bacterium
Lineage: Bacteria
Description: partial 16S ribosomal RNA
Rfam family: Bacterial small subunit ribosomal RNA
Source: RNAcentral